RNAcentral lists this ribosomal RNA (460 nucleotides) under uncultured bacterium. Its description in RNAcentral is "partial 16S ribosomal RNA". It matches the Rfam family "Bacterial small subunit ribosomal RNA", at positions 338 to 795 of the family's 1533-position model. The record is from RNAcentral.
CCUACGGGUGGCAGCAGUGAGGAAUAUUGGUCAAUGGGCGUAAGCCUGAACCAGCCAAGUCGCGUGAGGGAUGAAGGUUCUAUGGAUCGUAAACCUCUUUUAUAAGGGAAUAAAGUGCGGGACGUGUCCCGCUGUGUAUGUACCUUAUGAAUAAGGAUCGGCUAACUCCGUGCCAGCAGCCGCGGUAAUACGGAGGAGCCGAGCGUUGUCCGGAUUGAUUGGGUUUAAGGGGUGCGUAGGCGGCCUUUUAGGUCGGCGGUAAAAGUCUGUGGCUCACCCAUAGAAUUGCCGUGGAAACGGGGAGGCUUGAGUGUGUUUGGGGCAGGCGGAAUGCGUGGUGUAGCGGUGAAAUGCUUAGAUAUCACGCAGAACCCCGAUUGCGAAGGCAGCCUGCCAAGCCAUGACUGACGCUGAUGCACGAAAGCGUGGGGAUCAAACAGGAUUAGAUAGCCGAGUAGUC